GUUCAGAUAAAAGGGGAGGUUUCCUUUAUGUCCAGAUAAAAGGGGAGGUUUCCUUUAUGUCCAGAUAAAAGGGGAGGUUUCCUUUAUGUCCAGAUAAAAGGGGAGGUUUCCUUUAUGUUCAGAUAAAAGGGGAGGUUUCCUUUAUGUCCAGAUAAAGGGGAGGUUUCCUUUAUGUUCAGAUAAAAGGGGAGGUUUCCUUUAUGUUCAGAUAAAAGGGGAGGUUUCCUUUAUGUCCAGAUAAAAGGGGAGGUUUCCUUUAUGUCCAGAUAAAGGGGAGGUUUCCUUUAUGUUCAGAUAAAAGGGGAGGUUUCCUUUAUGUCCAGAUAAAGGGGAGGUUUCCUUUAUGUCCAGAUAAAAGGGGAGGUUUCCUUUAUGUUCAGAUAAAAGGGGAGGUUUCCUUUAUGUCCAGAUAAAAGGGGAGGUUUUCCUUUAUGUUCAGAUAAAAGGGGAGGUUUCAGUAUGC
This 463-nucleotide long non-coding RNA is filed under the name Salmo salar (Atlantic salmon). RNAcentral describes it as "lncRNA (ENSSSAG00000083496.1)". The record is from RNAcentral. Lineage: Eukaryota; Metazoa; Chordata; Actinopteri; Salmoniformes; Salmonidae.